RNAcentral lists this transfer RNA (72 nucleotides) under Camelus bactrianus (Bactrian camel). It matches the Rfam family "tRNA". From Rfam's summary of the family: Transfer RNA (tRNA) molecules are approximately 80 nucleotides in length. Lineage: Eukaryota; Metazoa; Chordata; Mammalia; Artiodactyla; Camelidae. RNAcentral also lists the same sequence under 2 other names. The record is from Rfam by way of RNAcentral.
GAAGGUAUAGCUCAGUGGUAGAGUGUGUGCUUAGCAUGCAAGAGGUCCUGGGUUCAAUCCCCAGUACCUCCA